Molecule: ribosomal RNA, 683 nt
Filed under: Ganoderma resinaceum
Lineage: Eukaryota; Fungi; Basidiomycota; Agaricomycetes; Polyporales; Polyporaceae
Description: SSU rRNA
Rfam family: Bacterial small subunit ribosomal RNA
Source: RNAcentral
UUUUUCAGUAGUUUAAGACAUGCAAAUCGUUGUUUCCAAAGUCCUUAAUUAAUUAAUAUUUUUAAUAUUAAUGGGAUCCGGGGAUAAGGUGUAGAGGUGAGUAUGUUAAAUAAGAUACCCUAUAGUCUUCUUAGCUAGGAGAUACAAAGUAAAGGAAAAUUUCUGCUAUAGGAUUCUAUUUAAUUUGAUUAGGUAGUUGAUAGGGUAACGGCCUACCAAGCCAACGAUCAAAAGUCAAGUUUGAAAGAACCUCUGGCCACAUUGGGGAUGAAAUCUCCCAAGUAGUAAUAACACUACCAGCAGUCGAGAAUAUUAGUCAAUGCUCGUAAGAGUGAACUAGCUAACUGAAAUCAUAGAAUUUUUUCAAAUUCAUGAUGUCGUAAGGGAAAAUAAUGAUAAUACCUUACUAUGAGUGUCGUCCAAAUCUGGUGCCAGAAGACUCGGUAAGACCAGAGACGCAAACGUUAAUCAUCAUAAACAGGCGUAAAGGGUUUGUAGGCAGCUUUUAUAGGAUUAUUUUUAAAGAUAAUCUAAAUUGAAAGCUAGAAUCAAAAAGAGGUUAUAGUGUAUAACGCCUAGAGGAGGGCUGAUAUCCGUAGAUCCUAGGCAGAAUACUCAGGGCGAAGGCCACUUUCCACUAAUGAUUGACGCUGAGAAACGAAGGUUAGGGUAGGAAAUAGGAU